Molecule: ribosomal RNA, 506 nt
Filed under: uncultured bacterium
Lineage: Bacteria
Description: partial 16S ribosomal RNA
Rfam family: Bacterial small subunit ribosomal RNA
Source: RNAcentral
AUUGAACGCUGGCGGCAGGCCUAACACAUGCAAGUCGGACGGUAGCACAGAGGAGCUUGCUCCUCGGGUGACGAGUGGCGGACGGGUGAGUAAUGUCUGGGGAUCUGCCCGAUAGAGGGGGAUAACCACUGGAAACGGUGGCUAGUACCGCAUAACGUCGCAAGACCAAAGAGGGGGACCUUCGGGCCUCUCACUAUCGGAUGAACCCAGAUGGGAUUAGCUAGUAGGCGGGGUAACGGCCCACCUAGGCGACGAUCCCUAGCUGGUCUGAGAGGAUGACCAGCCACACUGGAACUGAGACACGGUCCAGACUCCUACGGGAGGCAGCAGUGGGGAAUAUUGCACAAUGGGCGCAAGCCUGAUGCAGCCAUGCCGCGUGUAUGAAGAAGGCCUUCGGGUUGUAAAGUACUUUCAGCGGGGAGGAAGGCGAUGUGGUUAAUAACCGCAUUGAUUGACGUUACCCGCAGAAGAAGCACCGGCUAACUCCGUGCCAGCAGCCGCGGUAA